Molecule: ribosomal RNA, 517 nt
Filed under: Crassifilum sonorensis SON62
Lineage: Bacteria; Bacillati; Cyanobacteriota; Cyanophyceae; Coleofasciculales; Coleofasciculaceae
Description: bacterial SSU rRNA
Rfam family: Bacterial small subunit ribosomal RNA
Source: RNAcentral
GAGGAGCUCGCGUCUGAUUAGCUAGUUGGUAGGGUAAAAGCCUACCAAGGCAUCGAUCAGUAGCUGGUCUGAGAGGAUGACCAGCCACACUGGGACUGAGACACGGCCCAGACUCCUACGGGAGGCAGCAGUGGGGAAUUUUCCGCAAUGGGCGAAAGCCUGACGGAGCAAGACCGCGUGAGGGAGGAAGGCUCUUGGGUUGUAAACCUCUUUUCUCAGGGAAGAACAAAAUGACGGUACCUGAGGAAUCAGCCUCGGCUAACUCCGUGCCAGCAGCCGCGGUAAUACGGAGGAGGCAAGCGUUAUCCGGAAUUAUUGGGCGUAAAGCGUCCGCAGGUGGCACUUCAAGUCUGUCGUCAAAGACUGGGGCUUAACCCUGGAAAGGCGGUGGAAACUGAAGCGCUAGAGUGCGGUAGGGGUAGAGGGAAUUCCCGGUGUAGCGGUGAAAUGCGUAGAGAUCGGGAAGAACAUCGGUGGCGAAAGCGCUCUACUGGACCGCAACUGACACUCAGGACGA